GUGCACAUAGACUAAUUAAGUCGUAGCUUUGAAGAUGCUAAAAUGGAGUAAAUCCUGAGUACG
RNAcentral lists this transfer RNA (63 nucleotides) under Barbatia decussata. RNAcentral describes it as "tRNA-Phe". The record is from RNAcentral. Lineage: Eukaryota; Metazoa; Mollusca; Bivalvia; Arcoida; Arcidae.